AACGCACAUUGCACCCGGUGGUAUUCCGCCGGGUAUGCCUGUCUGAGCGUCAUUUCUACCCUCAAGCACUGCUUGGUGUUGGCGGUCUACGUCUUGUAGCUGCUGAAAUUCAACGGCGGUAGCCCCUAUCCUCCCUGUAUAGUAUAAUUCUUGCAGCGGUAGAUGCGGGGCGGACCAGCCCUAAAGCUCAAUUUCAGAAAGUUGACCUCAGAUCAGGUAGGAAUACCCGCUGAACUUAA
This 239-nucleotide unclassified non-coding RNA is filed under the name uncultured Ascomycota. RNAcentral's name for it is "sequence contains 5.8S rRNA gene, ITS2, 28S rRNA gene". The stretch from base 1 to 52 matches the Rfam family "5.8S ribosomal RNA", at positions 103 to 154 of the family's 154-position model. The record is from RNAcentral. Lineage: Eukaryota; Fungi; Ascomycota.